CUACGCAAAUCUGUCUUUGAUUCCACCACACCCCUGAUUAUACCAGAGAACGUUCAUCUAAGUUCUAUGAUUAUACUACUAAAAACUCCUUUGAGUUAUGGCGGUGUACUUCCUAACGCUUUGCAACUUAUUCACCCAUUUAUGAGUCAACAUGCGUUCGAAGGUUUAGGUUUAUCUCUGGUUUAGGCGUCACUCUGGUGCUUCUUUAGCGAGUUUUCGCUUUCACAAUAGCACACAUUUCUCCGCGCCUCAGUCGCGCAAACGCUACAAUAACAAUGCAUAUAGCUAUGCCAUGGCUGUCAGACCGAAUUCUACUCAAAACAUUCAAAAUUUUAUAAUUAAAAUAGCAUUUUCUCAAUAUACACACAACUCGGAGCCAUUAUACUACAGUACACGCGCGCGCUGCCUAUUCCAUUUGACAUCCGCUUUACAUAAAAUUUACUUGACGAAUUUUCGGCUUUUCAGACAGACAGCAAGGCAAUUGCAAAUACUGUCAGACUGAAACUCUAACUUCGUCUGCUCUUACUUGCCUGUGACUUGCAAAUGAGUGCAAACAGCAAAUGACUGCCAGCGGCCAUCGGGCACUGCGUAUGGUAAGCACUCGUGCGCUGUGAACCGCAAGUACAAGUUAAAGCGCUCUGCAAAUAACUUUUUAAAGCAAUGACGCGACGUCACGAAGGCGACAGCGCGUAGCGGUUCAAAAGCCAAGGCGAGCGUUAAUGGAAAUGUUGAUGUGCACGUGUUGCUUGGUGUUGUUGUUGUGUUGGUCAGACAAGGCAAGCGUUGCAAGCCUAUACACAUACAUCGUUGAGCGCCGGUCGACUGAAAUGGGUGAGCGCAAGUGAAAUUAUGUGAGUGCGGACAGAGUAAAAACAAAGCAACAAAUAUGUGCGUGCGCGUGUGCGUGUGUAUGUGUUUUGAGCGUGAAAUGCAAACGAGCGACAAGGUCGAAUGAAUGGCUGGUCACUUGAGGAACGCCGCAUAAGCAAGGGAAAUCGAAGACGAAAUUUCGGCAGCCAUACAGAGAAAACUGCACAGAGUCGGUGUGAGAGCGCAGAAACACAAUGGUAUAAGUUAAUUUGAUGAGACUUUGUGUAUGUAGUGUAAUUCUUCUUUUAAUAUUUAUUCAAAUUGUGUAAGUUCUACUUUUAUUUGCACUAAUUUUUGACUGCGCCAUAUUUUCAACUUUA
Molecule: long non-coding RNA, 1190 nt
Organism: Bactrocera oleae (olive fruit fly)
Lineage: Eukaryota; Metazoa; Arthropoda; Insecta; Diptera; Tephritidae
Source: RefSeq, a predicted model, not a curated record